CCCUUAGAUGUUCUGGGCCGCACGCGCGCUACAAUGGUCUUCGCAAACGGAUGCAUUCUCGAAGGAGAAUGCCAAUCUUGGAAUCUAUGCCUUGGUCGGGACAGUUGCUUGCAAUUUUUCGACUCGAACCAGGAAUUCCUUGUAAUCGUGAUUCAUCACAUCACGAUGAAUACGUCCCUGCCCUUUGUACACCCCGCCCGUCGCUCCUACCGAUCGAAGAGUUAGGUGAAUUGUUUUGAUCGAUAAGAUUUGACUAUGGUCAACUCUCGUUGUGAAAUUCUGUGAAUCUGACUGUUUAGAGGAAGGAAAAGUCGUAACA
Molecule: ribosomal RNA, 319 nt
Filed under: uncultured eukaryote
Lineage: Eukaryota
Description: partial 18S ribosomal RNA
Rfam family: Eukaryotic small subunit ribosomal RNA
Source: RNAcentral